UUUUCACCUCCUGUUCACCUGGGUCUGUCCAGCACAGAGACAGAGCAGAGACCUUCAGCUCAAUUCUGGAUCUUAAGCACCACCUCAAACCCUUCCUGCUCCAGCAGCAAUUCCCUUUUCCAGUGUGCUCCCAAUAAACAGAAAUCCCACAGCAUCAAAGCCAGGAGUGGGACUGGAAGAAAAUCCCGGCCCAGGCUGGUUCUGUGCCCCAGGAGCUGCAGUUUGGGUGAGGGGGAGCAGGAAUUCCUAUGGGAUAAAUCCCAUCCCAGAGUCCAAAUCCCAUCCCAGAGUCCAGCAGGAAUUCCCAGGGUACAAAUCCCAUCCCAGAUUCCAAAUCCCAUUCCAGAGUCCAGCAGGAAUUCCCAGGGUACAAAUCCCAUCCCAGAUUCCAAAUCCCAUUCCAGAGUCCAGCAGGAAUUCCCAGGGUACAAAUCCCAUCCCAGAUUCCAAAUCCCAUUCCAGAGUCCAGCAGGAAUUCCCAGGGUACAAAUCCCAUCCCAGAUUCCAAAUCCCAUUCCAGAGUCCAGCAGGAAUUCCCAGGGUACAAAUCCCAUCCCAGAUUCCAAAUCCCAUUCCAGAGUCCAGCAGGAAUUCCCAGGGUACAAAUCCCAUCCCAGAUUCCAAAUCCCAUUCCAGAGUCCAGCAGGAAUUCCCAGGGUACAAAUCCCAUCCCAGAUUCCAAAUCCCAUUCCAGAGUCCAGCAGGAAUUCCCAGGGUACAAAUCCCAUCCCAGAUUCCAAAUCCCAUUCCAGAGUCCAGCAGGAAUUCCCAGGGUACAAAUCCCAUCCCAGAUUCCAAAUCCCAUUCCAGAGUCCAGCAGGAAUUCCCAGGGUACAAAUCUCACCCCAGAUUCCAAAUCCCACCCCAGAUUCCAAAUCCCACUCCAGAUUCCAAAUCCCAUCCCAGACUCCAGCAGCAAGGAAGUGCCUGAGCUCCUUUUCCCAGCUGAGGAAUUCCAAGUGGAAAUUUUUCCUGAUUUUUUUUUUUUUCCUUUCAGCUUUUGGGGAUUUUAUGUCCUGGGGAAAGUAUUCUAGGGGCUGUAGCUCCAUCAGCUUCCAGAAAAUGCAUCUGUGGGAACAGCUCAGCUCUCCAGGUGAGUGA
This 1101-nucleotide long non-coding RNA is filed under the name Ficedula albicollis (Collared flycatcher). RNAcentral describes it as "lncRNA (ENSFALG00000026583.1)". The record is from RNAcentral. Lineage: Eukaryota; Metazoa; Chordata; Aves; Passeriformes; Muscicapidae.